RNAcentral lists this ribosomal RNA (586 nucleotides) under Oxyrrhis marina. RNAcentral describes it as "partial Bacterial large subunit ribosomal RNA". It matches the Rfam family "Bacterial large subunit ribosomal RNA", at positions 1046 to 1725 of the family's 2925-position model. The record is from RNAcentral. Lineage: Eukaryota; Dinophyceae; Oxyrrhinales; Oxyrrhinaceae.
CCCUAAGUUAUCACUAAGUGGGAAACGAUGUGGGAAUGCUUAGACAACCAGGAGGUUGGCUUAGAAGCAGCCAUCCUUUAAAGAAAGCGUAACAGCUCACUGGUCUAAAUAAGCCGUCCUGCGCCGAAGAUGUAUCGGGGCUCAAACUAUGUACCGAAGCUGAGGAUUCAAUUAUCUUACGGGAUAAUUGUCUGGUAGCGGAGCGUUCCGUAAGCCUGCGAAGGUGGUCCGUGAGGACUGCUGGAGGUAUCGGAAGUGAGAAUGCUGACAUGAGUAGCGACAAAGAGGGUGAGAGACCCUCUCGCCGAAAGUCCAAGGUUUCCUGCGCAAUGCUAAUCAGCGCAGGGUUAGUCGGCCCCUAAGGCGAGGCAGAAAUGCGUAGUCGAUGGGAAGCAGGUUAAUAUUCCUGCACCAGUGGGUAGUGACGGAUCUCGUGUGUCGUCAGUCCUUAUCGGAUUGAACUGGCGGCGAAGAGGUCCCUGGAAAUAGCUCCCACAUUAGACCGUACCCCAAACCGACACAGGUGGACUGGUAGAGCAUACCAAGGCGCUUGAGAGAACUCUGCUGAAGGAACUAGGCAAAAUGG